GAGCGUGAUCUGGCCAUAUGACAUCUGUCACACCAUCGAUCACCAGUUUUGAUUCAUCUGAUCUGACUAGGUAGGUCUGUGUCCCUUUCUUCCCUUCCUGUUUUUUGUGCAUCCCUCCCAAAACUGUGUGCUUGGUGGAAGAGGACAUCUAUCCUAGGUAGCCACUGGAGGGGAUAAAAAAGUGAAAGGAGGUUGAACAGGAGCUUCAACCUGACUGACAAGUCCAAUCAUGGGUUGCUGCUUUGCUGA
RNAcentral lists this small RNA (249 nucleotides) under Salvator merianae (Argentine black and white tegu). RNAcentral's name for it is "7SK RNA (ENSSMRG00000006078.1)". The stretch from base 1 to 174 matches the Rfam family "7SK RNA", at positions 7 to 171 of the family's 331-position model. Rfam says of the family: 7SK was discovered as an abundant small nuclear RNA in the mid-70s but a possible function has only recently been suggested. Two independent studies have found that 7SK RNA binds the CDK9/cyclin T complex (known as elongation factor P-TEFb). Lineage: Eukaryota; Metazoa; Chordata; Lepidosauria; Squamata; Teiidae. The record is from RNAcentral.